ACCUGUAACGGGUCUUCGUCGGGAGGAGCACCAUAAUCUCUUAACCCCACAUUCCGUCUAUACUCUAGCGAGAGCCCAGUUCGAGUCCGGUGGUGUCCGUUUUCCCACUCUUUUCGGUAACGAAAGAUGCUGGGCGGACCUAAGCAAUGAAAACUACUUGUCGAGGGAAGUAAUUCUGCAGACGCGUUUUCACCAUUGGACGGCGGCGCUGGAAUACUCUUGCAUAGAGUGGAAUGGGGGCUGGAGGAGGGUGUUUCGACCGACACCAAGAAAAAGAGUAAUCUUUUUGUGCAGGUUUGGGGUCCUUUUUUU
Molecule: signal recognition particle RNA, 312 nt
Filed under: Clohesyomyces aquaticus
Lineage: Eukaryota; Fungi; Ascomycota; Dothideomycetes; Pleosporales; Lindgomycetaceae
Description: Fungal signal recognition particle RNA
Rfam family: Fungal signal recognition particle RNA
Source: Rfam by way of RNAcentral